Pelobates cultripes (western spadefoot toad) is the source of this 235-nucleotide non-coding RNA. The record is from the annotation of a GenBank genome assembly. NCBI's taxonomy places the organism in Eukaryota, Metazoa, Chordata, Amphibia, Anura, Pelobatidae.
GCCGAACGUUCGUGAGUUGAACGGGGAGGUAGCCAUACUGCCGGCCAUUCGACUGCCGAACGAGGAGGCAAAAAAAAUGCAGAACGUUCAGUUUUGUGUCCUCUAUUACAGGGAAUGAAGGAGACGUGUCUGGUGACAGGAAUCCAGGAAAGCAGUCAUUACAGGCAGGGUCCAGCGGAAAAAGGAGGUGCGGUACGGCAGGCUUGGCAGCAGGUCCUGGGAAUGCUGGAAGUGC